AAUCUCUCUCGGUUUCGCUCUCACUGAGUUACUCUUUCAAACUCGUUCUCUGCUUGCGAUUGAACAGCAACAAUUCGGUUUCUCUCCCUGCGAAACAAAACCAGUGGCAACCUGUGUGGCUCUCAAUUCUCUUUCUCGGAGUAACAACAACAGUAACAAUUUCUCAUCAAAAAUUUCACGGUGGCUUAUGGAGGAACAAACCAGGAAGAAUAAGGUUCACAGCAAUAUCAUUGAGAGAGUAAGCGCGGAAUCAAUUUACCUGCGGCAAUGAGGUGUUUGCCGGAUUUUGUUGAGUGUUGCGGUUAUGCUUUGAUUUUGCUGAAUUUUUCUGCUGUUGCUUCGGAGUUGUUGAAGAUGAUGCGUGAAUGAUGUGUAAGCACAGGGCUGCAACCAGAGGCUCUUUGAUGAAGGUGAUGCCACAACACCUCUUU
This is a long non-coding RNA of Vicia villosa (hairy vetch), 431 nucleotides long. RefSeq lists it as uncharacterized. The transcript is spliced from 4 exons. Lineage: Eukaryota; Viridiplantae; Streptophyta; Magnoliopsida; Fabales; Fabaceae. The record is from RefSeq and is a predicted model, not a curated record.